UAGAUGGGGGGAAAACAAUGACCUAGAAAACCAAAUCCCAGUUUGGUAGCCAAAAUUAACCUCUUGGUUCAUUUGUUCUUUGUCUGAGAAUUCCUAAUGUUCAAUGCGUCAGACUUCUCACAGACACUUUCACCUGUCUUGGUUUUGGUUCUUCUUCCGAGAACUGAGCUAUUAAGAUCCUUUUAAGUCAAUACCAGUGGCCUUAAUGGCAGUAGACUGUGGAGUGACACUUGUGACACAAACAUCCUCUUUUUGGCCUGAGUUUAUGUAGACUUCACGGAGGACUAUAUUUUUCUUGGUUGUUUUAUUUUAAUUUUUGUUUUGGCUAUUGCACAACAUAUGCACUAGAGACUCUGGAAGCUGCUGGCAUGAUGGCUAAGUGGCCAAGGGAUAAACCCCUGAGAAACAGCACCUAAUAUCUCUAUAGGCAUCACCUUAUUGCCGUAGCUAGGACUUCUUGUUUAUUUGUUGAACAAAAACUUUAAAAGCUUAUUUGGAAGCUUAAACAUUUUUUUUCUCUUUUCUCCACGAACAAGUGAUCUUCAGAACUCCUUGUCUUCACCUGGAUAUCGGUCUGGGACUGGCCACACAGGCAUGACUACAGGAUUCCUUCCACAUCAUUUAAUGAAGAGAGAGAGACAUGUCCAGAAGUGAUUCACUCCAGGGGAUGAGGUGAAUGCAAAGGGAGCUGAGGUGACGUCAAGCAAUUCUGGAAAGCCACAUGGAAGGAUCUUUGAGAAUGGGAACUUUCCUACCCUUCAACAAAAGCCUCUUAUCCUUUUGGCUGAAAGCUGCAAAAUAAAUACAAGUACCAGUACAUGUUCCUGAAAUUCAGUGAAGACAACCUUGGCCUUCUGAGGUUUUUAUUCUGCCAGAUGACAGGCUUCCCCCUUAGCCCCAAACCAUCGUCUGCACUUUAUAUGUGACUGAUUAAAUCUUCUGUUUUCUUCAUUGUGAAGGCUUUUACAGGAAUGAGAUAUAGAAAGUUAAAAUGAUCAGUGUUCAGAGACCUAAAAAGUAAAAUUGUGGCUGGGUCGCUCUACACCUCAGAGAAAAU
RNAcentral lists this long non-coding RNA (1057 nucleotides) under Apteryx owenii (little spotted kiwi). Its description in RNAcentral is "lncRNA (ENSAOWG00000018487.1)". Lineage: Eukaryota; Metazoa; Chordata; Aves; Apterygiformes; Apterygidae. The record is from RNAcentral.